Molecule: ribosomal RNA, 250 nt
Filed under: uncultured prokaryote
Description: partial 16S ribosomal RNA
Rfam family: Bacterial small subunit ribosomal RNA
Source: RNAcentral
UACGUAGGGAGCGAGCGUUAUCCGGAUUUAUUGGGUGUAAAGGGUGCGUAGGCGGCUUUACAGGUCUGUGGUUUAAGCCCGAAGCUUAACUUCGGUUCGCCACAGAAACCGUAUCGCUUGAGUAUGGUAGAGGCAAGUGGAAUUUCUAGUGUAGCGGUUAAAUGCGUAGAUAUUAGAAGGAACACCAGUGGCGAAGGCGACUUGCUGGGCCAUUACUGACGCUGAGGCACGAAAGCGUGGGGAGCAAAUA